This 278-nucleotide ribosomal RNA is filed under the name uncultured bacterium. Its description in RNAcentral is "partial 16S ribosomal RNA". It matches the Rfam family "Bacterial small subunit ribosomal RNA", at positions 506 to 784 of the family's 1533-position model. The record is from RNAcentral.
UGCCAGCAGCCGCGGUAAUACAGAGGGUGCAAGCGUUGCCCGGAUUCACUGGGUGUAAAGCGCGCGUAGGCGGACUGUUAAGUUAGAGGUGAAAUCCCGGGGCUCAACCCCGGAACUGCCUUUAAUACUGCAGUCUAGAGUUCGAGAGAGGUGAGUGGAAUUCCGAGUGUAGAGGUGAAAUUCGUAGAUAUUCGGAGGAACACCAGUGGCGAAGGCGGCUUUCUGGACCAAUACUGACGCUGAGAUGCGAAAGCGUGGGGAGCGAACAGGAUUAGAUA